Molecule: ribosomal RNA, 800 nt
Filed under: Staphylococcus sp. JSM 2215062
Lineage: Bacteria; Bacillati; Bacillota; Bacilli; Caryophanales; Staphylococcaceae
Description: bacterial SSU rRNA
Rfam family: Bacterial small subunit ribosomal RNA
Source: RNAcentral
GCAGGGCGGCGGCUAUACAUGCAAGUCGAGCGAACAGAUAAGGAGCUUGCUCCUUUGACGUUAGCGGCGGACGGGUGAGUAACACGUGGGUAACCUACCUAUAAGACUGGGAUAACUUCGGGAAACCGGAGCUAAUACCGGAUAACAUUUGGAACCGCAUGGUUCUAAAGUGAAAGAUGGUUUUGCUAUCACUUAUAGAUGGACCCGCGCCGUAUUAGCUAGUUGGUAAGGUAACGGCUUACCAAGGCGACGAUACGUAGCCGACCUGAGAGGGUGAUCGGCCACACUGGAACUGAGACACGGUCCAGACUCCUACGGGAGGCAGCAGUAGGGAAUCUUCCGCAAUGGGCGAAAGCCUGACGGAGCAACGCCGCGUGAGUGAUGAAGGGUUUCGGCUCGUAAAACUCUGUUAUUAGGGAAGAACAAAUGUGUAAGUAACUGUGCACGUCUUGACGGUACCUAAUCAGAAAGCCACGGCUAACUACGUGCCAGCAGCCGCGGUAAUACGUAGGUGGCAAGCGUUAUCCGGAAUUAUUGGGCGUAAAGCGCGCGUAGGCGGUUUCUUAAGUCUGAUGUGAAAGCCCACGGCUCAACCGUGGAGGGUCAUUGGAAACUGGGAAACUUGAGUGCAGAAGAGGAAAGUGGAAUUCCAUGUGUAGCGGUGAAAUGCGCAGAGAUAUGGAGGAACACCAGUGGCGAAGGCGACUUUCUGGUCUGUAACUGACGCUGAUGUGCGAAAGCGUGGGGAUCAAACAGGAUUAGAUACCCUGGUAGUCCACGCCGUAACGAUGAGUGCUAAG